RNAcentral lists this small nuclear RNA (83 nucleotides) under Rhodnius prolixus. RNAcentral's name for it is "U4 spliceosomal RNA". It matches the Rfam family "U4 spliceosomal RNA", at positions 1 to 84 of the family's 138-position model. Rfam says of the family: U4 small nuclear RNA (U4 snRNA) is a component of the major U2-dependent spliceosome. The record is from Rfam by way of RNAcentral. Lineage: Eukaryota; Metazoa; Arthropoda; Insecta; Hemiptera; Reduviidae.
CACCUUGCACAGUGGCAAUAUCGUAACCAAUGAAGGUCUCCUGAGGUGCGAUUAUUGUUAGUUGAAAAAUUAUUAUAUUUACU